RNAcentral lists this ribosomal RNA (773 nucleotides) under uncultured bacterium. RNAcentral's name for it is "bacterial SSU rRNA". It matches the Rfam family "Bacterial small subunit ribosomal RNA", at positions 9 to 775 of the family's 1533-position model. The record is from RNAcentral.
GAGUUUGAUCAUGGCUCAGGAUGAACGCUAGCGGCAGGCCUAACACAUGCAAGUCGAGGGGUAACAUAGAAAAGCUUGCUUUUUUGAUGACGACCGGCGCACGGGUGCGUAACGCGUAUACAAUCUGCCUUAUACUGGGGUAUAGCCUUUAGAAAUGAAGAUUANUCCCCCAUAGUCUCUAGCUAUGGCAUCAUAGCUAGAGUAAAGGUUACGGUAUAAGAUGAGUAUGCGUUCUAUUAGUUUGUUGGUGAGGUAACGGCUCACCAAGACUACGAUAGAUAGGGGCCCUGAGAGGGGGAUCCCCCACACUGGUACUGAGACACGGACCAGACUCCUACGGGAGGCAGCAGUGAGGAAUAUUGGACAAUGGAGGCAACUCUGAUCCAGCCAUGCCGCGUGCAGGAAGACUGCCCUAUGGGUUGUAAACUGCUUUUAUAUAGGAAGAAACCUUGGUACGUGUACCAAGCUGACGGUACUAUAAGAAUAAGGAUCGGCUAACUCCGUGCCAGCAGCCGCGGUAAUACGGAGGAUCCAAGCGUUAUCCGGAAUCAUUGGGUUUAAAGGGUCCGUAGGUGGAUAAUUAAGUCAGAGGUGAAAUCUUGCAGCUCAACUGUAAAAUUGCCUUUGAUACUGGUUAUCUUGAGUUAUUAUGAAGUAGUUAGAAUAUGUAGUGUAGCGGUGAAAUGCAUAGAUAUUACAUAGAAUACCAAUUGCGAAGGCAGAUUACUAAUAAUCAACUGACACUGAUGGACGAAAGCGUGGGUAGCGAACAG